UACAGGGGGGGCAAGCGUUGUUCGGAAUUACUGGGCGUAAAGGGUCAGUAGGCGGCCAACUAAGUCCGACGUGAAAUCCCCAGGCUUAACCUGGGAACUGCGUCGGAUACUGGAUGGCUUGAAUUCGGGAGAGGGAUGCAGAAUUCCAGGUGUAGCGGUGAAAUGCGUAGAUAUCUGGAGGAAUACCGGUGGCGAAGGCGGCAUCCUGGACCGACAUUGACGCUGAACGACGAAAGCUAGGGGAGCAAACGGG
RNAcentral lists this ribosomal RNA (253 nucleotides) under uncultured bacterium. Its description in RNAcentral is "partial 16S ribosomal RNA". It matches the Rfam family "Bacterial small subunit ribosomal RNA", at positions 524 to 776 of the family's 1533-position model. The record is from RNAcentral.